This 362-nucleotide ribosomal RNA is filed under the name uncultured bacterium. RNAcentral's name for it is "partial 16S ribosomal RNA". It matches the Rfam family "Bacterial small subunit ribosomal RNA", at positions 355 to 708 of the family's 1533-position model. The record is from RNAcentral.
UGGGGAAUUUUGGACAAUGGGCGCAAGCCUGAUCCAGCCAUGCCGCGUGCGGGAAGAAGGCCUUCGGGUUGUAAACCGCUUUUGUCAGGGAAGAAAUCUUCUGAGUUAAUACCUCGGGAGGAUGACGGUACCUGAAGAAUAAGCACCGGCUAACUACGUGCCAGCAGCCGCGGUAAUACGUAGGGUGCAAGCGUUAAUCGGAAUUACUGGGCGUAAAGCGUGCGCAGGCGGUUUUGUAAGACAGAGGUGAAAUCCCCGGGCUCAACCUGGGAACUGCCUUUGUGACUGCAAGGCUUGAGUGCGGCAGAGGGGGGAUGGAAUUCCGCGUGUAGCAGUGAAAUGCGUAGAUAUGCGGAGGAACA